GUGAACGCUGGCGGCGUGCCUAAUACAUGCAAGUCGAACGGAGAUUAAGUAGCUUGCUAUUUAAUCUUAGUGGCGCACGGGUGAGUAAUAUAUAGCUAACUUGCCCAUUACUAAGGGACAACAGUUGGAAACGACUGCUAAUACCUUAUACUCCGUAUCUAUAUAAGUAGAUACGGGAAAGUGUUUCGGUAAUGGAUAGGGCUAUAUCGUAUCAGCUAGUUGGUAAGGUAAUGGCUUACCAAGGCUAUGACGCGUAACUGGUCUGAGAGGAUGAUCAGUCACACUGGAACUGAGACACGGUCCAGACUCCUACGGGAGGCAGCAGUAGGGAAUAUUGCUCAAUGGGGGAAACCCUGAAGCAGCAACGCCGCGUGGAGGAUGACACUUUUCGGAGCGUAAACUCCUUUUCUUGGGAAAGAAUUAUGACGGUACCCAAGGAAUAAGCACCGGCUAACUCCGUG
RNAcentral lists this ribosomal RNA (461 nucleotides) under uncultured bacterium. Its description in RNAcentral is "partial 16S ribosomal RNA". It matches the Rfam family "Bacterial small subunit ribosomal RNA", at positions 29 to 507 of the family's 1533-position model. The record is from RNAcentral.